UUAGUUGAGUUGAGUUGAGUUUUAGCUACAAGGAUGCUAGACAAGUUGAACUUGUGAGUGGUGAAGGGUAAGAGGUGAGAGGGGAGUUGGGCAAUGGAGAUGACAAGACUAGGAGUUGGAGAAGGGAGGCAACUCAGACAAGAAACUCAAGGAUAGGGAUCUAGAGAAACCGGAAAGGAUAGGAGUUAGAGACUUGUGGUCAAUUUCUUUUCUUUAUUCAAUACAGAAUGGCAGUGUUUAGGAGAGGCUGAUUACUGAUGUUAAAAUGGUGGUAUUUUAGUGGGGCAGCAAUGCUAUAUUUAAUAUAUAUUACCGUAUUAUUUAUUUAUAUUAAUAUAUAUUGCGGUUCAUUUUUGGUUUUGGUUUUCUUGACAUGAAAAUUCAAAAAUUGAACUAAUUGGAAAUUCUAAAACUCAAAAUCAAACUUGAAAACCGAAAUAAGGUGAUUUCAUUUUGUUGUUUGGUUUAAACUAAAUAGUGCUCUCCCCUAUUGAUGGCAAGUUGAAGUGCAUGGAAUGACUAGUUGAUUCAUCUGGGUUUGAAGUGUAUGAUAGUCAAGAAUAUAACUUAGGAAUCCUUAUAAUUUUUUUUGCAAUACCUGUCUAUGUGUUUUGUAACAACCCGCCUUUUCGGGAUGGCAGUGGCCACAUAGAGAACGUUGAGGUAAAAGGGCUAGUUGUUGCAUGAGGUCCAGAGCAGGGGCAGGAAUGAACCGAGUCCUAUAUUGGAAAGGGAGGGGAAAGUGAUGGGCUACAUAAGUGGCAAGUCUUCUAACCUGGAUAGCGCGCUUUUAGGUUUCAAAGAAGGGGUCCAAGGGACAAAGCCGUAAGGUCCAGUGGGUCAAAGUGGACAAUACUAUUCAGUUCCAAGAGGGGCAUUACAAUAUGGUAUCAGAGCCGACCUCCCUCAAUACAGUGUGGUUCAAGGACGAACCAAGCGGAAGCUAGUAGGCCUGUAACAUCUCGUGCGGAAGGAAGGUAUCGGCUGGAGGGGCAGAACUGAACCGAGUCCCACAUUAGAAAUGGAGGAGAAAGUGAAAGGCCAUAUAAGGUAGCAAACCUCUAACCUAGAUAGCGCGCUUUUGGACCUUAAAAAAAGGGUCCAAGGGACAAAGCGGUGAGGUCCGGUGGGCCAAAGCGGACAAUACUAUCUAGUGGGCCAGGAAGGGGCGUUACAUGUUUGUUAUGUAUCAGACUCGUACUUAAUCCAGAAACAGAGAAAAGAAGUAGAAAAGAAGAGGAGGAGGGGGGGUGGAAUUUAGAGAGAAUAUAGAGAAGAAGAGAGA
RNAcentral lists this unclassified non-coding RNA (1285 nucleotides) under Hevea brasiliensis (rubber tree). The record is from RNAcentral. Lineage: Eukaryota; Viridiplantae; Streptophyta; Magnoliopsida; Malpighiales; Euphorbiaceae.